UGCUCGUCGAACGGCAGCAUAGGAGCUUGCUCCUGAUGGCGAGUGGCGAACGGGUGAGUAAUAUAUCGGAACGUGCCCUAGAGUGGGGGAUAACUAGUCGAAAGACUAGCUAAUACCGCAUACGAUCUACGGAUGAAAGUGGGGGAUCGCAAGACCUCAUGCUCCUGGAGCGGCCGAUAUCUGAUUAGCUAGUUGGUGGGGUAAAAGCCUACCAAGGCAACGAUCAGUAGCUGGUCUGAGAGGACGACCAGCCACACUGGGACUGAGACACGGCCCAGACUCCUACGGGAGGCAGCAGUGGGGAAUUUUGGACAAUGGGGGCAACCCUGAUCCAGCAAUGCCGCGUGAGUGAAGAAGGCCUUCGGGUUGUAAAGCUCUUUUGUCAGGGAAGAAACGGUAGUAGCGAAUAACUAUUACUAAUGACGGUACCUGAAGAAUAAGCACCGGCUAACUACGUGCCAGCAGCCGCGGUAAUACGUAGGGUGCAAGCGUUAAUCGGAAUUACUGGGCGUAAAGCGUGCGCAGGCGGUUGUGUAAGUCAGAUGUGAAAUCCCCGGGCUCAACCUGGGAAUUGCAUUUGAGACUGCACGGCUAGAGUGUGUCAGAGGGGGGUAGAAUUCCACGUGUAGCAGUGAAAUGCGUAGAUAUGUGGAGGAAUACCGAUGGCGAAGGCAGCCCCCUGGGAUAACACUGACGCUCAU
This 701-nucleotide ribosomal RNA is filed under the name Herbaspirillum sp. RNAcentral's name for it is "bacterial SSU rRNA". It matches the Rfam family "Bacterial small subunit ribosomal RNA", at positions 56 to 750 of the family's 1533-position model. Lineage: Bacteria; Pseudomonadati; Pseudomonadota; Betaproteobacteria; Burkholderiales; Oxalobacteraceae. The record is from RNAcentral.